GACGAACGCUGGCGGCAUGCCUAACACAUGCAAGUCGAACGGAACUUGUUGAAUGAAGUUUUCGGAUGGAUUUUGAUAAGUUUAGUGGCGGACGGGUGAGUAACGCGUGAGCAACCUGCCUUUCAGAGGGGGACAACAGUUGGAAACGACUGCUAAUACCGCAUAACAUGAUCUGGCCGCAUGACCGGAUCAUCAAAGAUUUAUCGCUGAAAGAUGGGCUCGCGUCUGAUUAGCUAGUUGGUGGGGUAACGGCCCACCAAGGCGACGAUCAGUAGCCGGACUGAGAGGUUGAACGGCCACAUUGGGACUGAGAUACGGCCCAGACUCCUACGGGAGGCAGCAGUGGGGAAUAUUGGGCAAUGGGGGCAACCCUGACCCAGCAACGCCGCGUGAAGGAAGAAGGCUUUCGGGUUGUAAACUUCUUUUACCAGGGACGAAGAAAGUGACGGUACCUGGAGAAAAAGCAACGGCUAACUACGUG
This 481-nucleotide ribosomal RNA is filed under the name uncultured bacterium. RNAcentral's name for it is "bacterial SSU rRNA". It matches the Rfam family "Bacterial small subunit ribosomal RNA", at positions 28 to 507 of the family's 1533-position model. The record is from RNAcentral.